CUGACUGCUAUCGGAUGAUACUAAGCCAUGCGAGUCUUGUAGUAAUACAAGGCAGACGGCUCAGUAACACGUAGUCAACCUACCCUAUGGACAAGAAUAAUCUCGGGAAACUGGGCAUAAUUCUUGAUAGAUCAUAAUGCCUGGAAUGGUUUAUGGUUAAAAUGAUUCGUCGCCAUAGGAUGGGACUGCGGCCUAUCAGCUUGUUGGUGAGGUAAUGGCCCACCAAGGCGAUUACAGGUACGGGCUCUGAGAGGAGAAGCCCGGAGAUGGGUACUGAGACACGGACCCAGGCCCUAUGGGGCGCAGCAGGCGAGAAAACUUUGCAAUGUGCGAAAGCACGACAAGGUUAAUCCGAGUGAUUUCCGCUAAAGAAAUCUUUUGCCAGUCAUAAAACCACUGGUGAAUAAGGGGUGGGCAAGUUCUGGUGUCAGCCGCCGCGGUAAAACCAGCACCUCAAGUGGUCAGGAUGAUUAUUGGGCCUAAAGCAUCCGUAGCCUGUUUUGUAAGUUUUCGGUUAAAUCCAUGUGCUCAACGCAUGGGCUGCCGAAAAUACUGCAUAGCUAGGGAGUGGGAGAGGUAGACGGUACUCAGUAGGUAGGGGUAAAAUCCUUUGAUCUAUUGAUGACCACCUGUGGCGAAGGCGGUCUACCAGAACACGUUCGACGGUGAGGGAUGAAAGCUGGGGGAGCAAACCGGAUUAGAUACCCGGGUAGUCCCAGCUGUAAACGAUGCAGACUCGAUGAUGCAUUGGCAUAAUAGCCAUUGCAGUGUCGCAGGGAAGCCGUUAAGUCUGCCGCCUGGGAAGUACGUACGCAAGUAUGAAACUUAAAGGAUUGGCGGGGGAGCACCAC
RNAcentral lists this ribosomal RNA (851 nucleotides) under uncultured marine group I thaumarchaeote. Its description in RNAcentral is "SSU rRNA". It matches the Rfam family "Archaeal small subunit ribosomal RNA", at positions 23 to 882 of the family's 1478-position model. Lineage: Archaea; Thermoproteati; Nitrososphaerota. The record is from RNAcentral.